This is a non-coding RNA of Salmo salar (Atlantic salmon), 105 nucleotides long. The record is from RefSeq and is a predicted model, not a curated record. Lineage: Eukaryota; Metazoa; Chordata; Actinopteri; Salmoniformes; Salmonidae.
UAUAGUAGUUAUAGUAGUUAACAUCAUACAGGACAGGUAGUUAUAGUAGUUAUAGUAGUUAACAUCAUACAGGACAGGUAGUUAUAGUAGUUAACAUCAUACAGG